Molecule: ribosomal RNA, 497 nt
Filed under: uncultured bacterium
Lineage: Bacteria
Description: partial 16S ribosomal RNA
Rfam family: Bacterial small subunit ribosomal RNA
Source: RNAcentral
GAUGAACGCUGGCGGCGUGCCUAAUACAUGCAAGUCGAGCGAACAGACGAGGAGCUUGCUCCUCUGACGUUAGCGGCGGACGGGUGAGUAACACGUGGAUAACCUACCUAUAAGACUGGGAUAACUUCGGGAAACCGGAGCUAAUACCGGAUAAUAUAUUGACCCGCAUGGUUCAAUAGUGAAAGACGGUUUUGCUGUCACUUAUAGAUUGAUCCGCGCCGCAUUAGCUAGUUGGUAAGGUAACGGCUUACCAAGGCAACGAUGCGUAGCCGACCUGAGAGGGUGAUCGGCCACACUGGAACUGAGACACGGUCCAGACUCCUACGGGAGGCAGCAGUAGGGAAUCUUCCGCAAUGGGCGAAAGCCUGACGGAGCAACGCCGCGUGAGUGAUGAAGGUCUUCGGAUCGUAAAGCUCUGUUAUUAGGGAAGAACAAAUGUGUAAGUAACUAUGCACGUCUUGACGGUACCUAAUCAGAAAGCCACGGCUAACUACGUG